CUCGAAUAGAUCUGUUAGAUGCAGUCAGUUUAGAUGUGGCCAACAGGUGCAUUAGCAAAGAGAAGAUCUAAGGACAACACACUUAAAGACAACAGCAUUUAAUCUAGAAUUCCACCCUGAAUAUUUGAAACAAAAACAAUCUUAAGAGGUUUCAAGUUUCUUGGGCCUCAUCUGCGUUCCACUCAAGAACUCAGAACAGAGCACACCAGCUGUAAACCAGGAAUCCCAACAGGCAUUGGCCCUUCACAUCAAGUCUCUCUGCACUUCUUGAUUCACUUCACAUGUUGAAUAUCUUCAUUCUGACAUUUUUCCUCCUCUGUACACCGAAGUCCAAGGCUUCUGCACUCUAAUGAAUAAGGAGUGAUCCUUUUCUAACAAUGAGACAUGUC
This 389-nucleotide long non-coding RNA is filed under the name Gallus gallus (chicken). Its description in RNAcentral is "long non-coding RNA NONGGAT011755". Lineage: Eukaryota; Metazoa; Chordata; Aves; Galliformes; Phasianidae. The record is from RNAcentral.